CCUACGUGGGGCUGCAGUCGAGAAUCAUUCACAAUGGGGGAAACCCUGAUGGUGCGACGCCGCGUGGGGGAAUGAAGGUCUUCGGAUUGUAAACCCCUGUCAUGUGGGAGUAAAUCAAAAAGAUAGUACCACAAGAGGAAGAGACGGUUAACUCUGUGCCAGCAGCCGCGGUAAUACAGAGGUCUCAAGCGUGGUUCGGAAUCAAUGGGCGUAAAGCGUGCGGAGAAGGUUUGGUAAGUCAUGUGUGAAAGGCGCGGGCUUAACCCGAGGACGGCACAUGAUACUGCGAGACUAGAGUAAUGGAGGGGGAACCGGAAUUCGCGGUGUAGCAGUGAAAUGCGUAGAUAGCGAGAGGAACACUCGUGGCGAAGGCGGGUUCCUAGACAUUAACUGACGCUGAGGCACGAAGGCCAGGGGAGCGAAAGGGAUUAGAUACCCGGGUAGUC
RNAcentral lists this ribosomal RNA (446 nucleotides) under uncultured bacterium. RNAcentral describes it as "partial 16S ribosomal RNA". It matches the Rfam family "Bacterial small subunit ribosomal RNA", at positions 338 to 795 of the family's 1533-position model. The record is from RNAcentral.